GACGGGGCCCGCACAAGCGGUGGAGCAUGUGGUUUAAUUCGAUGCAACGCGAAGAACCUUUACCUGGUCUUGACAUCCACGGAAGUUUUCAGAGAUAAGAUGUGCCUUCGGGAACCGUGAGACAGGUGCUGCAUGGCUGUCGUCAGCUCGUGUUGUGAAAUGUUGGGUUAAGUCCCGCAACGAGCGCAACCCUUAUCCUUUGUUGCCAGCGGUCCGGCCGGGAACUCAAAGGAGACUGCCAGUGAUAAACUGGAGGAAGGUGGGAUGACGUCAAGUCAUCAUGGCCCUUACGACCAGGGCUACACACGUGCUACAAUGGCGCAUACAAAGAGAAGCGACCUCGCGAGAGCAAGCGGACCUCAUAAAGUGCGUCGUAGUCCGGAUUGGAGUCUGCAACUCGACUCCAUGAAGUCGGAAUCGCUAGUAAUCGUGGAUCAGAAUGCCACGGUGAAUACGUUCCCGGGUCUU
RNAcentral lists this ribosomal RNA (468 nucleotides) under uncultured Enterobacteriaceae bacterium. Its description in RNAcentral is "bacterial SSU rRNA". It matches the Rfam family "Bacterial small subunit ribosomal RNA", at positions 916 to 1381 of the family's 1533-position model. Lineage: Bacteria; Pseudomonadati; Pseudomonadota; Gammaproteobacteria; Enterobacterales; Enterobacteriaceae. The record is from RNAcentral.